This is a long non-coding RNA of Tripterygium wilfordii, 884 nucleotides long. RefSeq lists it as uncharacterized. Lineage: Eukaryota; Viridiplantae; Streptophyta; Magnoliopsida; Celastrales; Celastraceae. The transcript has 4 exons. The record is from RefSeq and is a predicted model, not a curated record.
GCCCACCAAUAGUCAAUAACCCCCAAAGUAGAAAAUUCAUUCUUAACUACUUCUUGAUAAUUUAUAUCAAACACUACCGCCCUGCGCACCAAAAACCCUAGAGUGCUGUACUUCGUCGCAUCGUCUCUUCUAAAGUGAAGUGAAGCCGAGUAAUUGGGGAGGCCUAUACUCAAAUCUUUGAUGGACAAUGCUGAGGAUAGUGAGAAAUCCAAGAAGACUGUUUUUGUAACAGUGGGCACCGCAUGUUUUGAUGCGCUCGUUGGAGUGCCGGAUUCUAAGGAGGUUAAAGACUUAAAGAUGAGCUGUUGAGGAGAGGAUAGACACACCUUUUCAUUCAAAUGGGUUGAGGAACCCAUACUCCUUCUAAGGGUCAGGAAGCAUAUUUGAGACAUUGCGGCUUGGCAAACCUCUAAUUGUGGUUGUCAAUGAAGAUUUGAUGGACAAUCGUCAAAGUGAGCUCGCCCAAGAACUAGCAGAUAGGAAGCAUUUGUAUUGUGCUCGUCCUCAAAACACUUCGUCAGACAAUAGCAAGCAUGGAUUUGGAGUCCCUCCUCCCAUACCAUAAGGGUGAUGCCACACCAGCCAUGGAUCAUAUAGACAGAUUUUUAGGUUUCCCAGACGACUGAUAAAUUGCUAAAUCCAAUACAUCAGAGAAGAAAAACAAGAGAAAUCAUUCUUGAAUGGAUUCUAUCUUUGUCAUGGGGCUAUUCACAUGAGGGAUCGAUUUUACAUGCCAACAAUCCACGAGAAGCACCCCUAUGACAAUGCAUUCGACACUCCGGUCUAAUUUGAUUGAGAAUGUGCAGUCGUACUUGAAUGAAUACCUCAAGUUAUUCGGACGUUUCUCUUUCAAGUGUAGAGGUAACUGCUUGGCUGAACUCUGG